GACGAACGCUGGCGGCGUGCUUAACACAUGCAAGUCGAACGAUGAAGCCUAGCUUGCUAGGUGGAUUAGUGGCGAACGGGUGAGUAAUACGUGAGUAACCUACCUUUAACUCUGGGAUAAGCCCGGGAAACUGGGUCUAAUACCGGAUACGACCAAUCUCCGCAUGGGGUGUUGGUGGAAAGCGUUAUGUAGUGGUUAUAGAUGGGCUCACGGCCUAUCAGCUUGUUGGUGGGGUAACGGCUCACCAAGGCGACGACGGGUAGCCGGCCUGAGAGGGUGACCGGCCACACUGGGACUGAGAGACGGCCCAGACUCCUACGGGAGGCAGCAGUGGGGAAUAUUGCACAAUGGGCGCAAGCCGGAUGCAGCGACGCCGCGUGAGGGAUGACGGCCUUCGGGUUGUAAACCUCUGUUAGCAGGGAAGAAGAGAGAUUGACGGUACCUGCAGAGAAAGCGCCGGCUAACUACGUG
Molecule: ribosomal RNA, 471 nt
Filed under: uncultured bacterium
Lineage: Bacteria
Description: partial 16S ribosomal RNA
Rfam family: Bacterial small subunit ribosomal RNA
Source: RNAcentral